GAUGAACGCUAGCUACAGGCUUAACACAUGCAAGUCGAGGGGAAACGACAUCGAAAGCUUGCUUUUGAUGGGCGUCGACCGGCGCACGGGUGAGUAACGCGUAUCCAACCUGCCCAUCACUUGGGGAUAACCUUGCGAAAGUAAGACCAAUACCCAAUGACGUCUCUAGAAGACAUCUGAAAGAGAUUAAAGAUUUAUCGGUGAUGGAUGGGGAUGCGUCUGAUUAGCUUGUUGGCGGGGUAACGGCCCACCAAGGCUACGAUCAGUAGGGGUUCUGAGAGGAAGGUCCCCCACAUUGGAACUGAGACACGGUCCAAACUCCUACGGGAGGCAGCAGUGAGGAAUAUUGGUCAAUGGACGAGAGUUUGAACCAGCCAAGUAGCGUGCAGGAAGACGGCCCUAUGGGUUGUAAACUGCUUUUAUAAGGGAAUAAAGUGAGUCUCGUGAGACUUUUUGCAUGUACCUUAUGAAUAAGGACCGGCUAAUUCCGUGCCAGCCGCCGCCGUAA
This 508-nucleotide ribosomal RNA is filed under the name uncultured bacterium. RNAcentral describes it as "partial 16S ribosomal RNA". It matches the Rfam family "Bacterial small subunit ribosomal RNA", at positions 28 to 523 of the family's 1533-position model. The record is from RNAcentral.